GUGCAGCAGGCGCGAAACUUUACAAUGUGCGAAAGCACGAUAAGGGAACUCUGAGUGCCUCCUAAGGAGGCUGUUCAGGUGUCUAAAAGCACCUGAAGGAAGGGCUGGGUAAGACCGGUGCCAGCCGCCGCGGUAACACCGGCAGCCCAAGUGGUAGCCACGUUUAUUGGGUCUAAAGCGUCCGUAGCCGGCUGGGUAAGUUCCUUGGGAAAUUUGGCUGCUUAACAGUCAAGCUUUCAGGGAAUACUGCCCGGCUUGGGGACCGGGAGAGGUCAGAGGUACUCCGAGGGGUAGGGGUGAAAUCCAUUAAUCCUUGGGGGACCACCGGUAGCGAAGGCGUCUGACCAGACCGGGUCCGACGGUGAGGGACGAAGGCUAGGGGCGCGAACCGGAUUAGA
This 398-nucleotide ribosomal RNA is filed under the name uncultured microorganism. RNAcentral describes it as "bacterial SSU rRNA". It matches the Rfam family "Archaeal small subunit ribosomal RNA", at positions 330 to 733 of the family's 1478-position model. The record is from RNAcentral.